AAGACCUUUGCGCUUUUGGAGCGGCCGAUGUCUGAUUAGCUAGUUGGUGGGGUAAUGGCCUACCAAAGCUUCGAUCAGUAGCUGGUCUGAGAGGACGGCCAGCCACACUGGGACUGAGACACGGCCCAGWCUCCUACGGGAGGCAGCAGUGGGGAAUUUUGGACAAUGGGCGCAAGCCUGAUCCAGCCAUGCCGCGUGAGUGAAGAAGGCCUUCGGGUUGUAAAGCUCUCUCAGCCGGAACGAAACGGUUACGGUUAAUACCUGUGAUUACUGACGGUACCGGAAGAAGAAGCACCGGCUAACUACGUGCCAGCAGCCGCGGUAAUACGUAGGGUGCGAGCGUUAAUCGGAAUUACUGGGCGUAAAGCGUGCGCAGGUGGUUUUGUAAGUCAGAUGUGAAAGCCCCGGGCUCAACCUGGGAAACU
This 425-nucleotide ribosomal RNA is filed under the name uncultured bacterium. Its description in RNAcentral is "bacterial SSU rRNA". It matches the Rfam family "Bacterial small subunit ribosomal RNA", at positions 202 to 623 of the family's 1533-position model. The record is from RNAcentral.